UUUUUUCUCAGGGAAGAAGAAAGUGACGGUACCUGAGGAAUCAGCAUCGGCUAACUCCGUGCCAGCAGCCGCGGUAAUACGGAGGAUGCAAGCGUUAUCCGGAAUGAUUGGGCGUAAAGCGUCCGCAGGUGGCAGUGUGUGUCUGCUGUUAAAGAGUGAGGCUCAACCUCGCAAAAGCAGUGGAAACUACACAGCUAGAGUACGUUCGGGGCAGAGGGAAUUCCUGGUGUAGCGGUGAAAUGCGUAGAGAUCAGGAAGAACACCGGUGGCGAAAGCGCUCUGCUAGGCCUUACUACACUAUUAUCGAAGUAAUGUAAAAU
This 320-nucleotide ribosomal RNA is filed under the name Nostoc linckia VB512191. RNAcentral's name for it is "bacterial SSU rRNA". It matches the Rfam family "Bacterial small subunit ribosomal RNA", at positions 432 to 769 of the family's 1533-position model. Lineage: Bacteria; Bacillati; Cyanobacteriota; Cyanophyceae; Nostocales; Nostocaceae. The record is from RNAcentral.